UACGUAGGGCGCAAGCGUUGUCCGGAAUUAUUGGGCGUAAAGAGCUCGUAGGCGGUCUGUCGCGUCCGUUGUGAAAACUCGAGGCUCAACCUCGGGCUUGCAGUGGAUACGGGCAGACUAGAGUGCGGUAGGGGAGACUGGAAUUCCUGGUGUAGCGGUGGAAUGCGCAGAUAUCAGGAGGAACACCGAUGGCGAAGGCGGAUCUCUGGGCCGAUACUGACGCUGAGGAGCGAAAGCGUGGGGAGCGAACAGG
RNAcentral lists this ribosomal RNA (253 nucleotides) under uncultured bacterium. Its description in RNAcentral is "partial 16S ribosomal RNA". It matches the Rfam family "Bacterial small subunit ribosomal RNA", at positions 524 to 776 of the family's 1533-position model. The record is from RNAcentral.